UACAGAGGUCUCGAGCGUUGUUCGGAUUCAUUGGGCGUAAAGGGUGCGUAGGUGGCGCCGUAAGUCAGGUGUGAACUCCCGCAGCUUAACUGCGGAACUGCAUUGGAAACUAUUUGACUAGAGGAAUGGAGGGGAGACUGGAAUACUUGGUGUAGCAGUGAAAUGCGUAGAUAUCAAGUGGAACACCAGUGGCGAAGGCGAGUCUCUGGACAUUUCCUGACGCUGAGGCACGAAAGCCAGGGGAGCAAACGGG
Molecule: ribosomal RNA, 253 nt
Filed under: uncultured bacterium
Lineage: Bacteria
Description: partial 16S ribosomal RNA
Rfam family: Bacterial small subunit ribosomal RNA
Source: RNAcentral